UAGGGAAUCUUCCGCAAUGGACGCAAGUCUGACGGAGCAACGCCGCGUGAGUGAAGAAGGAUUUCGGUUCGUAAAACUCUGUUGUUAGAGAAGAACAGCGCAUAGAGUAACUGUUAUGCGUGUGACGGUAUCUAACCAGAAAGCCACGGCUAACUACGUGCCAGCAGCCGCGGUAAUACGUAGGUGGCAAGCGUUGUCCGGAUUUAUUGGGCGUAAAGCGAGCGCAGGCGGUCAAUUAAGUCUGAUGUGAAAGCCCCCGGCUCAACCGGGGAGGGUCAUUGGAAACUGGUUGACUUGAGUGCAGAAGAGGAGAGUGGAAUUCCAUGUGUAGCGGUGAAAUGCGUAGUUAUAUGGAGGAACACCAGUGGCGAAGGCGACUCUCUGGUCUGUAGCUGACGCGGAGGCUCGAAAGCGUGGGUAGCAAACAGG
RNAcentral lists this ribosomal RNA (429 nucleotides) under Bacteroidota bacterium. Its description in RNAcentral is "Bacteroidetes bacterium partial 16S ribosomal RNA". It matches the Rfam family "Bacterial small subunit ribosomal RNA", at positions 355 to 776 of the family's 1533-position model. The record is from RNAcentral. Lineage: Bacteria; Pseudomonadati; Bacteroidota.